This 1852-nucleotide unclassified non-coding RNA is filed under the name Hevea brasiliensis (rubber tree). Lineage: Eukaryota; Viridiplantae; Streptophyta; Magnoliopsida; Malpighiales; Euphorbiaceae. The record is from RNAcentral.
UCGGCGUCGAUUGCGAAUCGAUUAUCGUCUCUGAGAAAUAACAGCCACAACUAUGAAGACAAGGAGACUAACAAUAAGAUGAAGUCUGUGGACUCAGAUGUUACGGAAUUCAACAUAUCGGGGCUCAAAGUCAUAGUGAGGCUCAAAAACGAUGAAGAAUUAAAGGGACGAAUAAGCUUCUUCUCGAGGUCAAAUUGCAGGGAUUGCACAGCAGUACGAUCAUUUUUUAGGCAGAAAGGAUUGAAAUUCAUCGAGAUUAACAUCGAUGUGUUCCCACAGAGAGCACAAGAGCUUAUAGAAAGAACAGGGAGUUCACAGGUGCCACAAAUUUUCUUCAACGAUAAGCUAUUUGGCGGUUUAGUGGCGUUGAAUUCGUUGAGGAACAGCGGAAUUUUCGACCAGAGGUUGAAGGAGAUGCUAGGGAGUAAAUGCUCCGGUGAUUCACCGGCAGCUCCUGUGUACGGGUUUGAUGAACCGGAGGAGGAAUCGAUGGACGAUAUGGUGGAGAUCGUAAGGGUUUUGAGACAGAGAUUGCCUAUUCAGGACCGUGUGAUGAAGAUGAAGAUUGUGAAGAACUGCUUUGCUGGGUCUCAGAUGGUGGAAGUGCUGAUACAGCAGCUGGAUUGCGGCAGAAAGAAGGCUGUUGAGAUUGGCAAGCAGCUUGCAAGGAAGCAUUUCAUCCAUCACGUCUUUGGGGAAAAUGACUUUGAAGAUGGAAACCACUAUUAUCGUUUUCUUGAGCAUCAACCAUUCAUUUCCAAAUGCUACAAUUUUCGAGGAUCUACAAAUGACAGUGAACCCAAGUCAGCAAUAAAGGUUGGCCAAAAGCUCAACAAAAUAAUGUCUGCAAUACUUGAGUUCUAUGCCUCUGAUGACAGGUGCCAUGUUGAUUACGCUAGCAUUAGCAGAAGUGAGGAAUUCAGAAGAUAUGUAAAUUUGGCUGAAGAUCUCCACAGGGUGGAUCUACUAGAACUCUCAACAGAUGAGAAACUGGCCUUCUUUAUGAACCUGUAUAAUGCCAUGGCCAUCCAUGCUGUAAUUAGAUUGGGGUGCCCUGAAGGGGUAAUCGAUCGGAGAUCCUUCAAUUCAGACUUCCAAUACAUUGUAGGAGGAUCUGCUUACUCGCUCAAUACCAUAAAGAAUGGAAUUCUCAGAAACAAUCGAAGACCUCCCUACUCGUUGGUAAAGCCCCUUGGAGCUGGAGACAAACGGUUGGAGAUAGCUCUUCCUAAAGUGAAUCCAUUAAUUCAUUUUGGGCUCUGCAAUGGGACAAGGUCAAGUCCCACAGUAAGGUUUUUCACAGCCCAAGGAAUUGAAGCUGAAUUAAAAUACGCUGCUAGGGAGUUCUUCCAAAGAACUGGAAUGGAGGUGGACUUGGAAAAGAGGGCAGUUUAUCUCACACGGAUCAUCAAGUGGUUCAGCGCAGAUUUUGGACAAGAGAGAGACAUUCUCAAGUGGAUUAUCAACUACUUGGAUGCAACCAAAGCGGGUCUUCUGACACAUCUUUUGGGAGAUGGUGGCCCCAUCAACAUUGUGUACCAAAACUAUGAUUGGUCUGUCAAUUCGUGAGGUAUCCACAUAGUGCUGUUGUGGUAUUAUUUAGUGUGUGUGUGUGUGUGUGUGUGUGUGUGUGUGUGUGUGUGAGAGAGAGAGAGAGAGAGAGAGAGACUGCAUUGGCCAGAGGCAUUUUGUACAUAAUACCCAAAAUUUGGAAGCAAUCACCUGGCCAAUAUAGGGGGAUUUAUUGAAUCACAGAGUAAUAUAUACUUUUUUUUUUAAUUUGCGAAUGCAAACAAUGAUGGAUGUGGUUAUUCAGAAAGAAAACAGUGCUGAAUACACAGAUGAAGUUGCC